Molecule: long non-coding RNA, 1518 nt
Organism: Eleginops maclovinus (Patagonian blennie)
Lineage: Eukaryota; Metazoa; Chordata; Actinopteri; Perciformes; Eleginopidae
Exons: 2
Source: RefSeq, a predicted model, not a curated record
UUGUAUAAACUUCCACAGGAAAGUUUUUUUUUUGGUAUUUAUAAAUGUGCAGAUGCAGAACUUUGACCAUUGUCAGUCGAUGCCAGCUGAACAUCAGAGAUGGAGAGCCUGUUAAGAGAAUCGUCACUGAGAAGCUGAGCACCUACGCUGCGAUCAUCUUUAUGUUUACCUACACUAUUUUACUCGACAGGGAUUUUGCCUGCACCUGCAAACCACAAGUCGGUGCCUGCUUCCUGUACUUGCUUCUGCCACCCUUCAUGAUACUUUUCUUAAUACUGAUGACGGACAGGUCUUUCCAAAGAGUCUGUAAAUACCAGUGCUCACAAUGGGAAUGCUGCUGCAGUCGUUGCUGUUUUUAUGUCAAGCACAUUUUGAGGGCAUUAUUUGUCGGCAUGCUGUGGGUUGCUUUUUUGUUCUUCGAUGGAGACUGGUAUGUUUGCUGUUGGACUCACGGCUCUGAACCACAGGAACAGUUAGCCUGCAAAGCUGAGGGGAGUUUAACGGUCAACGACACAGUUCUGAUAACUGAACUGAAGAACACAUCCCGGGUUAUCGGUGCCUGUGUUCUACUUGGAAUUGUUGCAGUGGCUUUCUUCUUGCCUUUGUGUUUCAGAUCGAAAUGCUGUUGCUCCAGCAAAGUAUUUCUGUAUGAAAAACUGAUUAUAAUGGAGGAGGCUAAAGUGCUGAAAGAGGUUUUGAGGAAUUCAGCAAAAGAGAAGUUGACUGAAGGAAUCAAGAAAAAAAUCAAUGGAGACAAUUGGGAAGAGUGUUUCAAUGUUGCCAGAACACUGAUUAAACAGCAGCAGUCGACUCAACGAACAGAGGUUGUAUGUGACAUCUUCAUGACUGGUUUUGUCGUACUAUCAGUGUAAAACCCACAGAUGUUUAGUUUAUUGUAACAUAAUACAAUGAAAAGCAGCCAUUCCUAUAGCCCGAGGUAAAGAAUAAAAAUGAACUCAGGCUUUUUAGAGUAAGUAAAAAUCUGCAGGUUUACUGAUUAUGAAGAAUGCUAAAAUGUAAUGAUAUAACAUAACUGAAUAACAUGCAACAGUUCACAUUUCUCUAUUUAAUCAGCGGCUGCAAAACGUCUGGACCUUACAAUCUCUGAAAUGAAAACCAAACAGUUUGCUCUUAAAUUCAUGUAAAUGCACUGUGCUCAAUGCGCCAGGUGAUGGUGCCAGACAGGCUGUUAGUGUGUUUGUUGUAUUCACCUCCUGCUCUCUUUUCUCUCAGGCUGCUGGUCCAGAGAGAUGAUACGCUUGUCAGAUCGACUAGAGGCGGCAGUGGCUGAGUCUUUAUGGACAUUGCUUCGUAGCCGAGGGUCGUCGGUUAAAUACUUCUUCAUGCAUAAAUAUGGCUUAAAAUGAUUGAGAAUGAACAGUUUUUUAUGUCAAUAUAACAACAUGUAUUUUGCUUUUACUUAGAGAUAUAUUCAGGAAAUAAGAAUUGUAUAUAAAACAUAAAAAUGAAUAAGUAUAUUUUUUUAUUGAGUUCAUUAAACUUUGUAUUUGAACAUUU